AGAACGAACGCUGGCGGCAGGCUUAACACAUGCAAGUCGAACGCGUGUAGCAAUACACGAGUGGCGCACGGGUGAGUAACGCGUGGAUAUCUGCCUUUUGGUUCGGAAUAACCCCGGGAAACUGGGGCUAAUACCGGAUGGUUCCUACGGGAUAAAGAUUUAUCGCCAAAAGAUGAGUCCGCGUCCGAUUAGCUAGUUGGUGGGGUAAUGGCCUACCAAGGCGACGAUCGGUAGCUGGUCUGAGAGGACGAUCAGCCACACUGGGACUGAGACACGGCCCAGACUCCUACGGGAGGCAGCAGUGGGGAAUAUGGACAAUGGGGGCAACCCUGAUCCAGCCAUGCCGCGUGAGUGAUGAAGGCCUUCGGGUUGUAAAGCUCUUUUGGCGGGACGAUGAUGACGGUACCCGCAGAAUAACGCCCGGCUAACUUCGCGCCAGCAGCCGC
RNAcentral lists this ribosomal RNA (446 nucleotides) under uncultured bacterium. RNAcentral's name for it is "SSU rRNA". It matches the Rfam family "Bacterial small subunit ribosomal RNA", at positions 26 to 518 of the family's 1533-position model. The record is from RNAcentral.